This is a long non-coding RNA of Brassica napus (rape), 4472 nucleotides long. RefSeq lists it as uncharacterized. The transcript has 9 exons. NCBI's taxonomy places the organism in Eukaryota, Viridiplantae, Streptophyta, Magnoliopsida, Brassicales, Brassicaceae. The record is from RefSeq and is a predicted model, not a curated record.
UCGAAUGUUAUAUAUUACUAGGAGCGUGGCCCCGCGCAAGCGCGGGAUAGUUGGUCUUAAACUUGUAUUUUGUGUUAGAAGAUAUGGUUGUUGAAAAAAAACAAAGUUUCUAUAAGAAAAGAAUAAGGAAUUGAGGAGAUGGUCGUUCAAAAAAAGUAUACGUAAGAGAUGAUAAGUGAAGUUAGAAACAUUAGUUAGGAGAUGGUAUAUUAUUCAUAGUGGAUGUCUAUUGUAUGAGUAGGCUUUUUGGAAGCUUUAAUUUGUUUGUUUUUUUUAGCCAGAGGUUUAAGAGGCGAUAACGCAUACUUUGAAAAAAAAACUGUUUGAGAAAAAAGAAACUUGAGAAGAAGCUGAUCGGAGCAUAAGUGGUCGUUUUUGGAACCCAUAAACAAACCAGAUGCUAUUUCUCUUAGUUUGAAGCGAGGGUGAGAGAUUGCUUUUUCCCUACUGCAAGUCCUGUAAAAAUGCAUUUGGGGCAUCCAUUAAUCUGUUAUUGGAUAAAAAACUCAUGAUUUAGUUUGAUGAUACGAUCCAUUAAACUGGACCUUAAAAUUUUGAGUACAACUAACUAUUGUAUUUACACAAUUUAAAUUAAACAAAUUAUCUCCAAUUUGUCCAAUUAGACGUAUUCUCUAAAAUAACCUGACAUGAGUCUGUAAACAUUUUCUACGUUGAAACAAUGUCGACAAUAGCAUCGUGUUGCUAUGUGAACAUGUAUUGAUACACUAAGUUAGAACAUGCUUAUUUUUCAGACGUUCUAUUUAUUUAAAAUCCAAGUAACUCUUUUCCCGGUGGGAGAUGGUUUGAAGAUAUUUCAAGACACAACCAAAGAUCAAAGUAGGGAAUACAUAAGAAAAUAUUUAUUUCAAAUGACACGAUAGCUAUAAGUGGAGAUGACAAUUCGGUCUUGAAACUAUCACUCAGGGGGCGUUUGGACUAUUUGGCUCGUCUUCAAAGCUGGGCAGUUUUGCUUCAUCAACUCCCAUUGCUCUUUUCGCCGCAUCAACCGUGUUGCUGGCAGAUGAUGUUGCUUGUCCAGCUUGGACAUCCACGACUGGAGCUUGGCUGCUGCUGCUACUCUGAGACACAAUUGUACAUGUAUGUUAUUUAAGAUCUGAACGGAAAAAAUUAUUAAGAACUUAGAUUACCCACCUCUGGCUGAGUGCCAAAGAAGAUAUCUCAGUGACUGCAGAGAUGGUGAAAAACGAUUCCUUGCCACUUAGCAGUUCAAUGCAGUUUGGUAGCUCCGGUCCUUCAUCACCUCUCAUCUGUAACAAUUUUAUAUGAUUGUUACAAUUAUAUAUAUGAUUCGAGGGUCAGAGAAAUCGUAACAAUUUUAAUAAUUUUAAUGUAAUGUGUUAGAGCAAAAACAAGCCUCCGCAAGAGCCAGAAUGUUUGCAUCUUUCUUGCUGAUCUCCCUGUCAAAGACCACAAAACGUGGCACUUCGUUGUCGUCGUCAACAGCCAGUUCAACGGAACCUGGAAAGAGAGUAGGUUAGCUGUGAACGUGUAUUUAAAUUAUGGUGUUCUUUUAGAUAUGAGACAUGAUUACCAUUAAUACCUGACUACUGACGUUCGGAGGAACGCAUCUGUUGUACCGGAGUGAAGUGUCGGAUUGGAGAAACACAAAUUUACAAAGUUUCCAAAGAGAAGAUUCUGUUUCUCAAUUUAUACGCCCAGCCCGUAAAAAAAACUUCAAUCAUGUAAACAAUCAAAACAUAAAACAUGAAGAUCAACAAUGUUCACAACUAAGCCAAAACUCAAGAAGCACAUGUUUUUUUACCUUUAGCGCUCCUUGCACUGAUUGAGCAACUUUUUCCACGACCGUUUCGUGGUAUUGGGUUCCCCUUUGAGAUGGUAGAUAAGAAAGCAAAAGCCAAGUCAUCCCUUGGUCCAUAAUUUUGUUCUUAUAUUAUGGGUUUGACAGUUGUCACUGAACUGCUAAUCAUGGUGAGCGUUUGGAGUCUCAGCAAUAUAACUUUAUAUAGCGAGGAUGGUCAUAUCGGUUCGGAAACGUGUUACAUAAUCAUUAUUGAUGGUCUGAGUAAAUAGGGGGAGAUGUAGAGAUUGGGGAAGAUAAAGAGUUCGUGUAAGGAGUUCAUGGUUUUGAAGGAAAUUGGAGGAGUAAAAGAACCCUAGAUCUCACUAAAGAGAAUAUCAGACGACAUCAAAACUUAUUUGGGCCACUACGGGGAUUUGUUUCAUGGGCUUGGCUUCAGCCUUAAAUCUAAAGAUAUAGGCGAAAGACUUAACGAAUAUAUCCACAUAUCAGUUAACAGAUUUAUUUAAGUUCGACUUUAUCUUUCUGGUGAAACCCACACUAUUUAAAAUAUAGACACGUGGAUAACUUUAGGAGAAGCAAAAGUGCCUCAUUAUAUAUGAACUGUAUCAAGAGCUUUGGAUUGGGCUGCGCGAUAGGUUUAAUGGGCUGCGACCAACACGGUUUCAAGUGAGGUUCGGGAUUGGGCUGCAAAAUGAGUCAAAUGGGCUGCGAAGGUGACUAUUUUUUUUUAAUUUCAAGCCCAAUCUGCCAGUGACAUGGCAGAAUGAUUGGUUGGGAAUAUUUUGCCUAGGUGGCACCCCUAAGAAGCCUCAAAAUUAAGCCCUUUUAUAUAGUGGGAUAAUAAAUAUUACUUAAAUACAAUAUAUUAUCUCUUAAUAUUUACUUACUGUAAAAAGAAGAGACGACUCUGCAUAUAUAUUUAUCAUUCUGUAUUGGUUACAACUAAACUAACAAUUAAAAUUACGAUAAAAAACAAAAUUAAAAAUUAAAAGUGUCUCAAUAUAAGUUACUCUAAAAGGAAGUUUAAAAUAUUCCACCCAUAAUACGGAAACAUAUAUACCUAAUUGUAUAAAUUAAGUUAACGAUCAAAUAGAUAUAACGUGACUCAUGAACCUAAUCUUUGAAAAGGUUUGUUUCCUAAAAGUAAAAGAAGAACAGCUAACCUAGUCAAGUUUGAAGUUAUUUCAUAUCUAUCUCCUUUUCUCCUGUGAUGUGGACUCUACACGAUUGAAUAGAACUUAUCGUUUGGUGGUUAUAUAAUGAUGAUUGGGAGAUUUGUUAAACACUCAUCCCGAGAUUUGUUAAACACUCAUCCCGCUAAAGAAUCUCAAGGAAAACGAAACACGAAUACUUUCUUCUUCUCAUAGAACGUGUUCUUCAAAGUUUCUCAUAUACUUGUCGAAUUGACGAAAAUAAAUUCCCCAUGUAACGAGUUCCAUCUGUUUCUCGUAGCUAUGAGUUUGAAUCAAAAUGGAUAACGAAUCGAAAGUUAAAAAAAAAUAGAAAAGGAAAGGGAAAAAAAAAGGAGAGAUCUAGAAACGGUCGUCUCUUCUUGGCCGACGAACAAUCAGAUUGAAAUUGAUGGUGCUAUUCAAAGUUAUACAACAUAUAUUUGAGAAAGACAACUUCAGAAAUAAGAAAUCGAAAGAUCCUUAUGUAAAAGGUUUAGUUUUCACAGAUGAAGAGUUUCUUAGAUCUGAAAUUAUGUCACAGAAGAAGAUCAACCGUAUCAAAUGUUGGGGACUUUAACACAUCUGAAGAAGCGAACAAAGUUAAAUCAGACAUAUAAUCUGAGUUCAGAUGUAAUGGUGGUGCUGCUCCGUGGUGAUACAAUUAGCUGAAGAAAUAAGUUUAUUAAAAGUGUAGCAUUACACUUGCGUCUUACAAAGAAAGUUGCAGUUUCUAGGUGGUUGAAUGAGUAAGGAAUAUUGAUAGUGUGAUUCGGCUUGCAGAUAGGAAGGGAUUGAACAUGAACCAAUACUACCACCCAAAAAGAUAAGUAUCUUUUUAUACUUUACCAGAAUUUAAAUAUAUAGUAACUUACUGUUAUAUUAUGUUCUUUUGACAGGAAAAUAUGCGUAUUACAUGGUACAUCCAAAUGGAAAUUAAGAAGCAAAUUGAUGACAGCGACUAUUAAGAUAACUUUCUUCAGUGCAUUUAAUCAGCAGAAUGGAGAAUAUCGGUUAAGUUUCCCCAAAUGCAGCAUGGUAUUCUUGAAUCACUAUAGGGUGGCGCCAGUCAAAAAGCGAGGCAUGGUUUGUUGUGCGAUAAGCUCCUCCUGCAGGCCUAACAUGGAAAUUUCGGAUGUAGCGCCAUGCUCCAACCGGAAGAAGGCUUCCUUUACUCUCAAUGAUUGCUUACAUUCUCAUCAACCAAGACGAAUUCCAUGGUUUCUCCCCCUAGUUGAAUGUUUUGUUUCCAAGAAUGUAGAACCUUCGCAUGAACCAUCUUAGCGGUGUGCACUGGCUUCAAGUUGUUGAUGGGGAUGGCUUGUUCAUUAGAAACAAUCGCUGUUUUGAUUUGCUUUUUAGAAGCCAUUUGUUUGUUUGACGGUAUGAGUUUGUUUAGGAAGAAGCGUCGUUAUUUAUAUAAGGAAGUGGCGAUGGGGAGAGUUGUUUAGGUUUUGAGGAAAACUUGGUGAAUACUGUAAAUAUUGGCAAGAUUUUCUAGUUAAUAGUAGUACUUAAUA